Molecule: ribosomal RNA, 770 nt
Filed under: uncultured bacterium
Lineage: Bacteria
Description: bacterial SSU rRNA
Rfam family: Bacterial small subunit ribosomal RNA
Source: RNAcentral
AGUGGGGAAUUUUGCGCAAUGGGGGAAACCCUGACGCAGCGACGCCGCGUGGAGGAUGACGGCCUUCGGGUUGUAAACUCCUGUCAGAAGGGACGAAAUCCCGCAAGGGACUGACGGUACCUUCAGAGGAAGCCCCGGCUAACUACGUGCCAGCAGCCGCGGUAAUACGUAGGGGGCAAGCGUUGCUCGGAAUUACUGGGCGUAAAGGGUGAGUAGGCGGUCGAGCAAGUCAAGGAUGAAAUCCCGAGGCCCAACUUCGGAAUUGUUCUUGAAACUGCUCGGCUUGAGGGUAGUUGAGGAGAGUGGAAUUCCCGGUGGAGCGGUGAAAUGCGUAGAUAUCGGGAGGAACACCUGAGGCGAAGGCGGCUCUCUAAACUACUCCUGACGCUGAAUCACGAAAGCUAGGGGAGCAAACGGGAUUAGAUACCCCGGUAGUCCUAGCCGUAAACGAUGGACACUGGAUAUUCCGGCAUUUCUGCUGGAGUGUCGUAGCUAACGCGUUAAGUGUCCCGCCUGGGGAGUACGAUCGCAAGGUUGAAACUCAAAGGAAUUGACCGGGGCCCGCACAAGCGGUGGAGCAUGUGGUUUAAUUCGACGCUACGCGAAGAACCUUACCUGGGCUUGAACUGCUGGUGGUAGAAGCCCGAAAGGGUAACGACCCGGAGCAAUCCGGAAGCCAGUAGAGGUGCUGCAUGGCUGUCGUCAGCUCGUGUCGUGAGAUGUUGGGUUAAGUCCCGCAACGAGCGCAACCCUUACCCUUAGUUGCCAGC